Molecule: non-coding RNA, 561 nt
Organism: Ictidomys tridecemlineatus (thirteen-lined ground squirrel)
Lineage: Eukaryota; Metazoa; Chordata; Mammalia; Rodentia; Sciuridae
Source: RefSeq, a predicted model, not a curated record
CUCAUGUUGAGGGGCUCCUCCAACUACCUCAGUAGUAUGCUGACUCCGAAAGUGACCAGCUCCAACUGAGUAUCCUUCAAGAAACAGGAGAAAGUACGAGGAUCAUCAUUUAUAAUUAUUCCCAGCUGAAACAUUCAAGACCUGUAGGGAGAUGGAAGGUGUCUAGCUACAAAGCCCUCGUGAAUGAAUGCUUUCAGAAUUCACAAAAGAGACACAGCUUUGCUUCUUCUGAAGAACUGACAUAAGAACCUCUCUCUAUGAAAAGAAGGAUCAAGGAAACAUCUUCUUUUUAGUUUUGAUAACAGAAAACUUAAAGAAGCUGCUAUGGCACUUAUAUUACCAUUUGCUGCUAUGAUUUUUAUCACUCUUUUCAUAUCUUACCUGAUCCUGUACUCUACAAUUUUAGGUAGGGUUUUAGGUUUAUACCAUCUUGAAUUUUUUGGUAAAAUGUGGCUAGAUAUAUCUAAGCAAAACUAAAAUUCUACUAUGAAAAUGUUUAAAAGUGUAAAUCAUAACAGACAACAGAGGGUAGGUAAUAAAUAUACAGAUGCUUAGACUGAA